Molecule: non-coding RNA, 23 nt
Filed under: Rattus norvegicus (Norway rat)
Lineage: Eukaryota; Metazoa; Chordata; Mammalia; Rodentia; Muridae
Source: RNAcentral
UGAGAAGAGGCAGAAUUCGGGUC